CCCGCGGCUAGACGGAAAGACCCCGUGAACCUUUACUACAGCUUGGCACUGAACAUUGAACCUACAUGUGUAGGAUAGGUGGGAGGCUAUGAAGACGUGACGCCAGUUGCGUUGGAGCCGUCCUUGAAAUACCACCCUUGUAUGUUUGAUGUUCUAACUUAGCCCCAUUAUCUGGGGUGAGGACAGUGCCUGGUGGGUAGUUUGACUGGGGCGGUCUCCUCCCAAAGAGUAACGGAGGAGCACGAAGGUGGGCUAAUCACG
This 261-nucleotide ribosomal RNA is filed under the name Vibrio cholerae. RNAcentral's name for it is "partial 23S ribosomal RNA". It matches the Rfam family "Bacterial large subunit ribosomal RNA", at positions 2069 to 2329 of the family's 2925-position model. Lineage: Bacteria; Pseudomonadati; Pseudomonadota; Gammaproteobacteria; Vibrionales; Vibrionaceae. The record is from RNAcentral.